CAUUAUUGAAUUAAUAAAAGUGGGCUUUCUUGAAGUGGGUUGAUGCUGGUGUUUCUCUCUAACCCGAGACACAUAUUGUGCUCGCCUGCCGAUGGGGGGUUCAUUUUUUGUUAACUUCUUUUCCACCUGUGCACUAUUGUAGAUGUUGGAGAUUGUCUCUCAAGCGCAAGCUUGGUCUGGAGUUUGCGGGCUUCAUUAAGUUGAAGUCGGCUUUCUCUGUUGAUCUUCAGUAUCUAUUUACAUAUACUCUAUAAUAAGUUUAGAAGGUCUUGAUUGGGCUUUUUUAUGCCUAUAAAUCAAUUAUACAACUUUUAGCAACGGAUCUCUUGGCUCUCGCAUCGAUGAAGAACGCAGCGAAUUGCGAUAAGUAAUGUGAAUUGCAGAAUUCAGUGAAUCAUCGAAUCUUUGAACGCACCUUGCGCUCUUUGGUAUUCCGAAGAGCAUGCCUGUUUGAGUGUCAUUAAAUUCUCAACUCAUUUCAUUUGUUUUUAUCAAAUGAGAUGCAUGUUGGAUGUGGGAGUUUGCGGGCCUUCAUUAAGUUGAAGUCGGCUCUCCUGAAAUGUAUUAGCGGGAACCUUUGUUGGACCGCUUCUAUUGGGUGUGAUAAUUAUCUACGCCUAGGAAGUGUAAAAGACAUUUCAUACAUUCGUGUAUGGGGUUCUGCUCCUAAUCGUCCAUUCACUUGGACAAUUUACUAUGACAUUUGACCUCAAAUCAGGUAGGACUACCCGCUGAACUUAAGCAUAUCAAUAAGCGGAGGAAAAGAAACUAACAAGGAUUCCCCUAGUAACUGCGAGUGAAGCGGGAAAAGCUCAAAUUUAAAAUCUGGUGGUCUUUGACCAUCCGAGUUGUAAUCUAGAGAAGUGUUACCCGCGUUGGACCGUGUACAAGUCUCCUGGAAUGGAGCGUCAUAGAGGGUGAGAAUCCCGUCUUUGACACGGACUACCAAGGCUUUGUGGUGCGCUCUCAACGAGUCGAGUUGUUUGGGAAUGCAGCUCAAAAUGGGUGGUAAAUUCCAUCUAAAGCUAAAUACAGGCGAGAGACCGAUAGCGAACAAGUACCGUGAGGGAAAGAUGAAAAGAACUUUGGAAAGAGAGUUAAACAGUACGUGAAAUUGCUAAAAGGGAAACGCUGGAAGUCAGUCCCGUUCGCUGGGAAUCAACCUUACUCUU
RNAcentral lists this ribosomal RNA (1172 nucleotides) under Cyathus ibericus. Its description in RNAcentral is "eukaryotic LSU rRNA". The stretch from base 705 to 1172 matches the Rfam family "Eukaryotic large subunit ribosomal RNA", at positions 1 to 462 of the family's 3401-position model. Lineage: Eukaryota; Fungi; Basidiomycota; Agaricomycetes; Agaricales; Nidulariaceae. The record is from RNAcentral.